AACGUAGGAGACAAACGUUAUCCGGAGUUACUGGGCGUAAAGGGCGUGUAGGUGGUUUCGUAAGUCUGGCGUGAAAUAUCUCGGCUUAACCGAGGCAGGUCGUCGGAUACUGCGGAACUGGAGGACGGUAGAGGCGUGUGGAAUUCCGGGUGUAGUGGUGAAAUGCGUAGAUAUCGGGAGGAACACCUGUGGCGAAAGCGGCGCACUGGACCACAACUGACGCUGAGGCGCGAAAGCUAGGGGAGCAAACAGG
RNAcentral lists this ribosomal RNA (253 nucleotides) under uncultured bacterium. RNAcentral describes it as "partial 16S ribosomal RNA". It matches the Rfam family "Bacterial small subunit ribosomal RNA", at positions 524 to 776 of the family's 1533-position model. The record is from RNAcentral.